RNAcentral lists this ribosomal RNA (468 nucleotides) under uncultured bacterium. Its description in RNAcentral is "partial 16S ribosomal RNA". It matches the Rfam family "Bacterial small subunit ribosomal RNA", at positions 28 to 507 of the family's 1533-position model. The record is from RNAcentral.
GACGAACGCUGGCGGCGUGCUUAACACAUGCAAGUCGAACGGAAAGGCCCUGCUUUUGUGGGGUGCUCGAGUGGCGAACGGGUGAGUAACACGUGAGUAACCUUCCCUUGACUUUGGGAUAACUUCAGGAAACUGGGGCUAAUACCUGAUAGGAGCUCCUGCUGCAUGGGGGGGGUUGGAAAGUUUCGGCGGUUGGGGAUGGACUCGCGGCUUAUCAGCUUGUUGGUGGGGUAGUGGCUUACCAAGGCUUUGACGGGUAGCCGGCCUGAGAGGGUGACCGGCGACAUGGGGACUGAGAUAGGGACCAGAGUCCAACGGGAGGCAGCAGUGGGGAAUAUUGUACAAUGGGGGGAAGCGUGAUGCGACAACGCUGGGUGUGGGAUGACGGUCUUCUGGUUGGAAACCGCUUUCGGCUGUGACGAAGCGUGAGUGACGGUAAUGGGUGAAGAAGCACCGGCUAACUACGUG